This 138-nucleotide small nucleolar RNA is filed under the name Ornithorhynchus anatinus (platypus). Lineage: Eukaryota; Metazoa; Chordata; Mammalia; Monotremata; Ornithorhynchidae. The record is from RNAcentral.
CCCCUCUCAGGAUCACACCUGGAGAGUUUCCAGUACUCUACCAGUCUUGGCUAUGGGAGGGACAGUCAAGCAGAGGCCUACCCAUUCCAUUCCUAGGUUGGGCAGUGGGUAGCAAGUGGAAGGCAAUCAGCUACAAGU